Molecule: ribosomal RNA, 483 nt
Filed under: uncultured bacterium
Lineage: Bacteria
Description: bacterial SSU rRNA
Rfam family: Bacterial small subunit ribosomal RNA
Source: RNAcentral
GAUGAACGCUGGCGGCGUGCCUAAUACAUGCAAGUGAAACGGGUGUCUUCGGACACUAGUCGCGAACGGGUGAGUAAUACGUAGGCAACCUGCCCUAAAGAGGGGGAUAACUGAGGGAAACUUCAGCUAAUACCGCAUAAAGAACGCAAGGCAUCUUGCGGAGAUGAAAGGAGGGUCAAACCUCCGCUUUAGGAUGGGCCUACGGCGCAUUAGCUAGUUGGUGAGGUAACGGCCCACCAAGGUUAUGAUGCGUAGCCGACCUGAGAGGGUGAUCGGCCACAUUGGGACUGAGACACGGCCCAGACUCCUACGGGAGGCAGCAGUAGGGAAUUUUCGGCAAUGGGGGAAACCCUGACCGAGCAACGCCGCGUGAAGGAUGAAGGUUUUCGGAUCGUAAACUUCUGUUGUAGAAGAAAAAUGACUAUUGUAGGAAAUGACAAUAGAGUGAUGGUAUUCUACUAGAAAGCCACGGCUAACUACGUG